AAUUUCAACCUUUUUUUUUUUUAAGAAAAACCUAUAUUAUUAAAUAUUCUAAUGAAUAAUUUUUCUCAUUCAUAUAUGUUAGAACUAAAACCGAGAAGAUCUAGUUCGUCGGAUGCGAAAAUACCAAAAGAGAUCCGAGAAAGAGAGAAGAAAAAUAAAGCACAUAAUAUUUACGUGGUUCGGCCAACGGCCUACGUCCACGGGCGAAGACGGAGCAGAGAUCUUCAUUAUAAUCAAAGUGGUGUACAAAAUAUGCCUAUCUCACAAAACCCUAAUCCCAAAAAUACACCCAUAUUCGCUCUCUCAUCUUCCGCACUAAAUCAAUAGCAGAAAGGGUAUAUUUAUAAUAGUGGCUAAAUCCUAAUACAAUUAGGAAUACAAACCCACUAAGAUUAGGAAUAUCUCAAUAAAAUUAGGCAUAAUCUAAACUUAACUUAAUGAGAUAAUCAAAAUAGAAUAGGGAUAGAAAAUCUUGCGGUACUAGAAUUCGAGACAUAUCU
Molecule: long non-coding RNA, 500 nt
Filed under: Ananas comosus (pineapple)
Lineage: Eukaryota; Viridiplantae; Streptophyta; Magnoliopsida; Poales; Bromeliaceae
Description: long non-coding RNA (ACOM_LNC038284)
Source: RNAcentral